Molecule: unclassified non-coding RNA, 3661 nt
Filed under: Hevea brasiliensis (rubber tree)
Lineage: Eukaryota; Viridiplantae; Streptophyta; Magnoliopsida; Malpighiales; Euphorbiaceae
Source: RNAcentral
GAUAGAUAACCAAUCAUUUAAAGUCUUCUGUCUUCAAAAGUUUGAUUCUUAAAAAUUACGUUUUAUAAAUUUUGGUUUCGUUCGAAAUUUUAAUAAUAAUAUAUAUAUAUAUACACUUAAAACUUUUACGAAGGUAUACAGCAAGAAAAAUCAAUGGAUGGCUCCUUCACACUUCUUAUUCUUUCCUCCAUUUUAUUGCUUAUUAUAACAAUAUCCACUGCAGCUGACACCAUAACUAUAACUCAACCUAUUAAAGAUGGAGAAAGCAUAGUUUCAGCUGAUGAGGGCUUUAGAUUAGGAUUUUUUAGCCCAGGCAACUCCAAAAAUCGAUACUUGGGUAUAUGGUACAACAAAGUAUCUGUCGCGACCGUAGUUUGGGUUGCUAACAGAGAGAUCCCCCUCGCCGAUUUAUCAGGUGUUCUGAAGAUUACUGAGCGAGGACUAGUACUUGUCAAUCACAAUGAAACCAUAAUUUGGUCUUCCAACUCCACGGGAUCUGUGAGGAAUGUUGCGCGGCUUUUGAAUUCAGGAAACCUUGUAGUAAUAGAUGAGGAUAACCCUGAAGAUUAUUUGUGGCAGAGUUUUGAUUAUCCAUGUGAUACAUUCCUUCCAGGGAUGAAGCUUGGAUGGAAUAGAGUAAUAGGCCUGGAUCGCUACAUAUCGUCAUGGAAGACACCUGAUGAUCCUGCUCGAGGUAAUUUUACGUGUGGAUUUGAUCCUGCUGGUUAUCCUGAGAUGAUUGUGAGAGAGAACUCAAUUGAGCGUUUUCGAGUUGGACCAUGGAACGGUCUUAGGUUUAGUGGAUUUCCUGCGUUAAAGCCAAACCCCCUAUACACAUAUGAGUUUGUUCUCAAUGAAAAAGAAAUAUAUUACCGUACACAGCUUCUUGACAACUCGCUUCAUUCAAGGUUGGUGAUAAAUCGGAAUGGCAUUCUCCAGCGCUUCACUUGGAUCGAGCGAACACAGAACUGGGAGCUUUAUCUUACUUUCCAAAUUGAUAAUUGUGAUAGUUAUGCUUUGUGUGGUGCAUAUGGUAGCUGCAAUAUUAAGGACUCUCCAGUGUGUAGUUGCUUGAAAGGAUUUGUUCCAAAAGUUCCAAAAGAGUGGGACAUAUUCGAUUGGUCAAGUGGUUGUGUUAGAAAGACUCCACUAGAUUGCUCUGGAGAUGGAUUUCGUAAGUACUUUGCCGUGAAGUUGCCAGAGACUCGUAAAUCCUGGUUUGAUAGGAGUAUCAAUCUUGAGGACUGCAGAAUCAUUUGCAUGAAGAAUUGCUCAUGUACAGCCUAUUCAAAUUUGGAUAUUAGGGAUGGAGGAAGCGGGUGCCUUCUGUGGUUUAAUGACCUGAUUGAUAUUAGAGGAUAUGAGGAGAAUGGUCAAGAUAUUUAUGUAAGGAUGGCUGCGUCAGAACUAGGUAUGAAGUUCUUUUGAUACAAAGCUGUUAAAUUAUUCUUUUCUUUCAUUGCCUUCACCAAAUAUAAUUGGAUUUCCUGACUCAUUUUCUGUUGUGACAACAGAAAAUAAGUCGGGCCUAAACCAUAAUUUGGUCAGCAAGCUGAUUGGAUAUGAUGUGCACAGGAGCACCAAUUUGACAAUGAAUUGGAGUAAUUCUUUUUCUUAGUUUGCCGUUCGCCGUUCCAUGUGUUAAUCCUAGCUACAUGGAAUAGCAGGGGUAUAAUAUAAUUUCUCCAAUGUAUUGUGUGUAUACUUGAAUUCGUUUGCAUGACAGCAUAACUUAGCGUGCAUAGCCUGUUACAUCGUUUAGCAUGAAUAAUAAUUCAGAAUAGCUAAACCUCCAAGCAGCAACAUAAUGGACUAAUUUGCUUAGCAUAAGACACUAUUAGUUACCUCCAAGUUCUAACAGUAGCGACCAAAUGCAUAUGAAAAUUUGCUGUUUUUAAAAAUGAAUUUGGUAGCUGUGGUAGAGUUAUCCAGCGCCAUUAGGCCUUUUUCUAGAAAAUGAAUUGGAAAACAAAAUUAUCAUUGAUUUCUAACUCCCAGUCUUUCUGCUUGUGACUGCUUUAUGUGUAGAUGAUGACAUGAGGAUUAGGAGUAAAUCCAACGUGAGGAUCAUUGUAAGCUCUGUGUUAUCUACAGGGAUUCUGUUCCUGGUGGUAGCUAUAGUCUUGUGUGUUAGGAAAGCGAAACAGCAGAAAGCUGGAAAAGAAACUGGCAGUUUGGAAGGAAAUGCAAAUGACGAGGGCCAAAAAGAAGAUCUAGAACUACAGCUGUUUGAUUUUGGCACUAUUGUUCAUGCAACUAAUAAUUUCUCUGUCACCAAUAAACUCGGAGAAGGAGGCUUUGGACCUGUUUUUAAGGCAACAGUCUGAAUGAAGUAACAAAAAAUUUUUUAUUGCUUCACCAAUUGAUUGUGCAACUCUUUCCAUUUUUAUAUUUCUCCACUACAGUUUGUCACAAAUUAUUCAAUCAACAGGAUUUAGCAUUAUUGUGGAUAAAUUGAUAGUUCAGCAAUUGUUCCAACUUCAAAGCCUAAACAGAUAAGCAGAGAAGUAUGUAGCACAGUAGCACUAAAACAAAAUUCUAAACUUUCAUAAUCAAAAUUAGACUUUGCUAAUUAAAUGAUGUGAUUACUUACAGGGAACGUUGAAAGAUGGACAAGAAAGUGCUGUGAAGAGGCUCUCAAAGAAUUCAACCCAAGGACUUGAUGAGUUCAAGAAUGAAGUAAUGCAUGUUGCCGUACUUCACCAACGGAAUCUGGUGAAGCUUCUAGGAUGCUAAUUUGUCCUGGUUUAUAGUUUCCUUUGAAGCCAAUUUGAAAAUGUCUUGGAGAGCUUCAGGGUUUCUCUGCAUUCAAUGGAAUACAUGCAGCAUACCAAUCUGUUUUGUUUAAGAAAAGUGCACAUUUCGAUACGCUAUUGAUCUCUUUUGCAUUCCGAAAAUAUUACCGGUACGAUUUAUACACUUUUUGUUUGUAAUUUGCACACCUCACGCUAAUUAUACAAAGCAUCGACAGUAACGCCAUUUUUGCCGCGGACGCAUCAUCAGUCUGCUACUUUCGUCCAGGAACGAAGUUUAAUCCUUCUUUUCCCGGCAUAUUUAAGCCAAUAAUCAUCAGUUUGGCAAAUAAGUAUCGCAGUCUUAGCUGUCCGCAUGGGUAGGAUAUGGAGAGUCCUCCUCUUUCUUGGAAACCACCAGAACGAGGGCUUAUUAAGAUGAAUUGUGAUGCGUCUUUAAUGGAUGAUGAGAGAAUUGGUUAUGGUGUUGAUUUUAGAGACGCCGAUGGGGCUGUGAUAGCGUGUGCUUCGAAGUGUUCGAUAGCUAGUUGGGAUCCGGAUGUUGCUAAAGCCAUGACUUUGUCCUAUGUUCUGUGAUUGGCAUCUGAAUUGAGUUUUAAGAAGGCUUGUGCUGAAUCAGAUUGUAAAGCUGUCAUAGACUUGCUCAGAGGGGAAGUUCAUCAGGUGAAUGCUAUGGGCACUGCCCUGUGGUAUUGUGCGUCUUUUUGGCAAUCAGCUUAUCCGCUCGUGGUCUUUUGCCCCUAGGAGCUGCAAUACCUGCAGCAAUUACCUUUUUUUUGUUCAAAAAAUAACGUAAAUUCAUUGCAAAGAAGGAUCUUGACCCAUUACAACAAAAUAGAGACCAAUUAAUAUAGGACAGAUCCUCAAAUCAACCCAGCUCAACCAACGAAUUAUUUAGAAAAAAAAAA